RNAcentral lists this ribosomal RNA (240 nucleotides) under Dolichovespula media (median wasp). Its description in RNAcentral is "partial 16S rRNA". The record is from RNAcentral. Lineage: Eukaryota; Metazoa; Arthropoda; Insecta; Hymenoptera; Vespidae.
AUGAAAGAGUGGAUGAAAUAUAAUUUGUCUCAAAAUAAUAGUAUUGAAUUUAAAUUAAGAGUAAAAAUGCUUUUAUGAAUUUAUUAGACGAGAAGACCCUAUAGAAUUUAAUAAAAUUUAUUUAUUAAUGAUUUUUUAUUUUAUAUAGUUAAUAAAUAUUUAUAUUUUAUUGGGAGGAUAUUUAAAUUAAUUAAACUUUAAAAAUUUAUUAACAUAGAUUAAUGAAUAUAUGAUUAUUAU